UAAAAAGAUAGAAAACCAGUAAGUAGUUAU
Molecule: non-coding RNA, 30 nt
Filed under: Rattus norvegicus (Norway rat)
Lineage: Eukaryota; Metazoa; Chordata; Mammalia; Rodentia; Muridae
Source: RNAcentral